Molecule: ribosomal RNA, 1346 nt
Filed under: uncultured bacterium
Lineage: Bacteria
Description: partial 16S ribosomal RNA
Rfam family: Bacterial small subunit ribosomal RNA
Source: RNAcentral
GACGAACGCUGGCGGCGUGCUUAACACAUGCAAGUCGAACGGAAAGGCCCUGCUUUUGUGGGGUGCUCGAGUGGCGAACGGGUGAGUAACACGUGAGUAACCUGCCCUUGACUUUGGGAUAACUUCAGGAAACUGGGGCUAAUACCGGAUAGGAGCUCCUGCUGCAUGGUGGGGGUUGGAAAGUUUCGGCGGUUGGGGAUGGACUCGCGGCUUAUCAGCUUGUUGGUGGGGUAGUGGCUUACCAAGGCUUUGACGGGUAGCCGGCCUGAGAGGGUGACCGGCCACAUUGGGACUGAGAUACAGCCCAGACUCCUACGGGAGGCAGCAGUGGGGAAUAUUGCACAAUGGGCGGAAGCCUGAUGCAGCAACGCCGCGUGCGGGAUGACGGCCUUCGGGUUGUAAACCGCUUCCGCCUGUGACGAAGCGUGAGUGACGGUAAUGGGUAAAGAAGCACCGGCUAACUACGUGCCAGCAGCCGCGGUGAUACGUAGGGUGCGAGCGUUGUCCGGAUUUAUUGGGCGUAAAGGGCUCGUAGGUGGUUGAUCGCGUCGGAAGUGUAAUCUUGGGGCUUAACCCUGAGCGUGCUUUCGAUACGGGUUGACUUGAGGAAGGUAGGGGAGAAUGGAAUUCCUGGUGGAGCGGUGGAAUGCGCAGAUAUCAGGAGGAACACCAGUGGCGAAGGCGGUUCUCUGGGCCUUUCCUGACGCUGAGGAGCGAAAGCGUGGGGAGCGAACAGGCUUAGAUACCCUGGUAGUCCACGCUGUAAACGGUGGGUACUAGGUGUGGGGUCCAUUCCACGGGUUCCGUGCCGUAGCUAACGCUUUAAGUACCCCGCCUGGGGAGUACGGCCGCAAGGCUAAAACUCAAAGGAAUUGACGGGGCCCCGCACAAGCGGCGGAGCAUGCGGAUUAAUUCGAUGCAACGCGUAGAACCUUACCUGGGUUUGACAUGGAUCGGGAGUGCUCAGAGAUGGGUGUGCCUCUUUUGGGGUCGGUUCACAGGUGGUGCAUGGCUGUCGUCAGCUCGUGUCGUGAGAUGUUGGGUUAAGUCCCGCAACGAGCGCAACCCUUGUUCACUGUUGCCAGCACGUUAUGGUGGGGACUCAGUGGAGACCGCCGGGGUCAACUCGGAGGAAGGUGGGGAUGACGUCAAGUCAUCAUGCCCCUUAUGUCCAGGGCUUCACGCAUGCUACAAUGGCUGGUACAGAGAGUGGCGAGCCUGUGAGGGUGAGCGAAUCUCGGAAAGCCGGUCUCAGUUCGGAUUGGGGUCUGCAACUCGACCUCAUGAAGUCGGAGUCGCUAGUAAUCGCAGAUCAGCAACGCUGCGGUGAAUACGUUCCCGGGGCU